ACGUAGGCAGCGAGCGUUGUUCGGAGUUACUGGGCGUAAAGCGCGCGUAGGCGGCUUUGUAAGUUAGAGGUGAAAGCCCGGGGCUCAACCCCGGAACUGCCUUUAAGACUGCAUCGCUUGAAUCCGGGAGAGGUGAGUGGAAUUCCGAGUGUAGAGGUGAAAUUCGUAGAUAUUCGGAAGAACACCAGUGGCGAAGGCGGCUCACUGGACCGGUAUUGACGCUGAUGUGCGAAAGCGUGGGGAGCAAACAGGA
RNAcentral lists this ribosomal RNA (253 nucleotides) under uncultured prokaryote. Its description in RNAcentral is "partial 16S ribosomal RNA". It matches the Rfam family "Bacterial small subunit ribosomal RNA", at positions 525 to 777 of the family's 1533-position model. The record is from RNAcentral.